AGCGGCAAAAGCUCAAAUUUGAAAUCUGGCGCCUUCGGUGUCCGAGUUGUAAUUUGAAGAUUGUAACCUUGGGGUUGGCUCUUGUCUAUGUUUCUUGGAACAGGACGUCACAGAGGGUGAGAAUCCCGUGCGAUGAGAUGCCCAAUUCUAUGUAAGGUGCUUUCGAAGAGUCGAGUUGUUUGGGAAUGCAGCUCUAAGUGGGUGGUAAAUUCCAUCUAAAGCUAAAUAUUGGCGAGAGACCGAUAGCGAACAAGUACAGUGAUGGAAAGAUGAAAAGAACUUUGAAAAGAGAGUGAAAAAGUACGUGAAAUUGUUGAAAGGGAAGGGUUUGAGAUCAGACUCGAUAUUUUGUGAGCCUUGCCUUCGUGGCGGGGUGACCCGCAGCUUAUCGGGCCAGCAUCGGUUUGGGCGGUAGGAUAAUGGCGUAGGAAUGUGACCUUACUUCGGUGAAGUGUUAUAGCCUGCGUUGAUGCUGCCUGCCUAGACCGAGGACUGCGAUUUUAUCAAGGAUGCUGGCAUAAUGAUCCCAAACCGCCCGUCUUGAAACACGGAC
Molecule: ribosomal RNA, 553 nt
Filed under: Meyerozyma guilliermondii
Lineage: Eukaryota; Fungi; Ascomycota; Pichiomycetes; Serinales; Debaryomycetaceae
Description: eukaryotic LSU rRNA
Rfam family: Eukaryotic large subunit ribosomal RNA
Source: RNAcentral